This is a non-coding RNA of Schizosaccharomyces pombe (fission yeast), 644 nucleotides long. NCBI's taxonomy places the organism in Eukaryota, Fungi, Ascomycota, Schizosaccharomycetes, Schizosaccharomycetales, Schizosaccharomycetaceae. The record is from the annotation of a GenBank genome assembly.
AGGAUUUCAUCCCUCGUUUUUUCAAUUCAUCCAUAACACCCAUUUUUUCCUCUCCAGCCUUAUUAAAAGCUGUAACAUGCUUAUGAUACACGACUGUUUUGCCUUCAACUGAUUGUGGAUUCUUUACAUUGGCAAGCAAAACAGGGCCAUGACAGACUGCCGAUAAAACACCACCAUUUGUAAACACUUCUCUUGCUACCGCCUGUAAAUUCGUGGCUUUGGGUAAGUCAAACAUCGCAGCAUGCCCACCUGCCACAAAUAAAAGCUGAUAGUCUUUUCCAACUAUGUCCGAAGCCUUUUUCAUAUUGUUAAGAUUAGUCCAAAAAUCGUCGUUUUUAUCAUUAAAUACUUUUCUUUCAAAGUCCCCUAAUUUUGACUCCUCAAUGGAAUGAUCGUCAAAUUUGUAAGAGCCAUUUUCUGAAACGAAUUGCACGUUAAAACCUGCUUUUUUGAAAACAUUGUAAGGGAUUAAAAGCUCUGAAAAAUGGACUCCAGUGUUUUUACCAUCUGGAUAAAAUGGGCCAUAAUAACUGCUGGCAACAAGCAAUGCAUUUUUUCCUUUUGCAAUAGACAUUAGGGAAAGAUAGUCUGUAGAAAUAGAUGAAAGCCAAGCAAACAAACAAAUAAUAGAAUAAAAAUGAUCG